ACUAUUUUUCUUUUCUUAAUCCUGUGUACGGAGUAGUAAACUUUAAUCAUUGUGAUCAUCUUGAAUUUUAAGUCUUAAAAUAUGUUUAUCGAUUGUCUUGUUGCUUUGAACACUGAAACAAUUGGUUGAGCAGAUCCCUGGUGUGUCUAUUAUGUACAUGACAGGACACAAAUAUUCUAUUGAGCAGCUGCCUGAAGCUACAAUGGGGGAGGAUGAAUUACUGCAAACACAGGAUGAAUUGAUAUAGUAUCUCUGGGGAAUUGCUCGGCUGCUAAAGAGAAAAAGGAAAAUGAAUACAUUAUCAUAAAAGCUUUGGACAAGCUACAACAAAAUCAUGGAGUAGAAGCUCCAGAAACAAUCCCCCUCAAACAAGAAGAUGAUGAAAUCAAUGCACCAAAGAACAGUUAUCCAGCAAGAUAUUGAAAAUUAAACUUCUGAAAUAACCACUACUGUGUGUUUCUUUCUUUACUACCAUUGUUGGUUUGAUGUAAAAUCUCAAUGCUUAGUAGUCACAACCGAUCUUUUGACUAUGUAUAACUUCACUAAGCUUGGAGACAUCCAACCUUUUGAUCACGUACAAGUUUACUAAAGGUAGUCCGUAGGAUUACAUUUUUACUUUUGUACGCAAGGAAAACAAUUUAACACACUCUAUGUAAUUAGGUGUAAGCUGACUUUUGAAGUAAAUACGAAUAAUGUAAUAUAACUGUUGUAGUAUUUGCAUAAAUGCGAAUUACAAUAUCCUGGUGGUGAAUUGCUGUU
Molecule: long non-coding RNA, 759 nt
Organism: Spinacia oleracea (spinach)
Lineage: Eukaryota; Viridiplantae; Streptophyta; Magnoliopsida; Caryophyllales; Amaranthaceae
Exons: 2
Source: RefSeq, a predicted model, not a curated record